UGCCAGCCGCCGCGGUAAUACGUAGGGUGCAAGCGUUGUCCGGAUUUAUUGGGUUUAAAGGGUGCGUAGGUGGCCGAUUAAGUCAGUGGUGAAAUCCUGCAGCUUAACUGUAGAACUGCCAUUGAAACUGGUUGGCUUGAGUGUCGUUGAGGCAGGCGGAAUUUAUGAUGUAGCGGUGAAAUGCAUAGAUAUCAUAAAGAACACCUAUAGCGAAGGCAGCUUGCUAAGCGGCAACUGACACUAAUGCACGAAAGCGUGGGUAGCGAACAGGAUUAGAUA
Molecule: ribosomal RNA, 279 nt
Filed under: uncultured bacterium
Lineage: Bacteria
Description: partial 16S ribosomal RNA
Rfam family: Bacterial small subunit ribosomal RNA
Source: RNAcentral